Molecule: ribosomal RNA, 430 nt
Filed under: uncultured marine bacterium
Lineage: Bacteria
Description: bacterial SSU rRNA
Rfam family: Bacterial small subunit ribosomal RNA
Source: RNAcentral
AAUUUUCCGCAAUGGGCGAAAGCCUGACGGAGCAAUACCGCGUGAGGGACGACUGCCUAUGGGUUGUAAACCUCUUUUUUCAGGGAGGAAAAAAAUGACGUUACCUGAAGAAUAAGCAUCGGCUAACUCCGUGCCAGCAGCCGCGGUAAGACGGAGGAUGCAAGUGUUAUCCGGAAUCACUGGGCGUAAAGCGUCUGUAGGUGGUUUGAUAAGUCAACUGUUAAAUCUUGAGGCUCAACCUCAAAACCGCAGUCGAAACUAUUAGACUAGAGUAUAGUAGGGGUAAAGGGAAUUUCCAGUGGAGCGGUGAAAUGCGUAGAGAUUGGAAAGAACACCGAUGGCGAAGGCACUUUACUGGGCUAUUACUAACACUGAGAGACGAAAGCUAGGGUAGCAAAUGGGAUUAGAUACCCCAGUAGUCCUAGCUGUA